RNAcentral lists this long non-coding RNA (2257 nucleotides) under Manihot esculenta (cassava). Its description in RNAcentral is "long non-coding RNA (MESC_LNC009051)". Lineage: Eukaryota; Viridiplantae; Streptophyta; Magnoliopsida; Malpighiales; Euphorbiaceae. The record is from RNAcentral.
AAAAAGGAAAAAGAAAAGGAAGAAAGAAGAAAAGACUAGAAGAGAAGAAGAACCAAUUUCUUCAAUCCUCCUUCCUCUGCCGUGAACCAAAACAAAAUCCCCUUCUCCAUCUUUUCUCUUCUACACCAAAAUUCCUUCAAAUUUCCAUCUCCAAUCACUUACCCAUCUUCUCCCAACACAUUUUCAAAGUAGAAUUUGAAGAAAAGAAGAGAAAUCAAAGAGAAAAUUCAAGAUUGAGGGAGAGUGAAUAGUAACCAAGGGUUUGGAAAUUUAAAGAUAUGUUAGGGGUUUUGAUGUAGGGAUGUUUCUUAUUAUUUUUAUAUGAAUAUUUAUGAAAAAUAUUGUAUUAAUAUGAUUUAUUGGUUUAUUUUUUUUCAUGAAGAAGAAGUGAAAGGGAAGAGUGGAAACUCUAAAGGAAAAGGAAAAGAAAAAGAAAAGGAAGAUUAGGAAAUUUUAAGCUUGUGGAAGAUUUUGAAAGGUUAAGGUUUGUGCUCAACUUUAUUUGAGUAAAUUUAAGAAUUUGUUAAUUAUGUUCUAUUUGAAAAUUUUACUACCCUAGUAGAAAUAGACCAAGUGAAUAAUAGUUUAAUUAUAUUGUAUAAUCCAAGUUUGAGAAAUAAUAGAUUGAAUAAAUAGAAAAUUUUAAAAUUCAUAUGUAAUUUAAACAAAAUUUAAGUGAUGGAUCUAAUGAAAUGACUCUAUUUUCUUUGAUAGAAAUAUAAUUUGGUUAGAUAUAGUAUUAAUAAAAAAAAUUUAGUAGACUAAAAAAAAGGAGAGAAAUUAGAUUAGAUGAAAAAAAAAACAUAAUAGAACUGACAGGAAUCAGAAAAGUGAGAUAUAGUGUAAAUAUGAUGUUUAAAAAUAAUAAUAAUUAAAAAAAGAAUAAUAGUUAAUUAAUUAAGGAUUAAAUUAUGAAUUUGUAAUUUAUGUAAUUGAAUUGAAUUCAUAGAUUCAUAUGAUAUGACAAUGUUUAAAAGUAAUGUUUAAAAGUAGAGUUAUAAUAUGAUACAAUAUUAUAGUUGAAGAAUUGAAAGUUAUACUGUAUUGGAAGUUUUUGUCCCCCUGUGUAAAUGUAUAAAUUAUUUAAAGUCUAGCCCUAGUAAGUUUGGUGGGAAUUGUGAGUUAGUUUAAGGGUGUGGCAUGCCAUAUACAGAUUUUGCAGUACUGCACUACAGUUACACUGAUUUUUAGGAUGCAAUAAGGUACCUGUAACGACCCGAAAAUCGGACCGCUACCGGCGCUAGGAUCCAGAUCGGCUUAAGGCCGUCGGGACCCGUAGCAAGCUUGACAUAUAACCUGUAAACCUGUAUAAUCCCAUACAUGAUCAACAACAUGCAUAAAAAUUUAAACUUUUCUUUCAUUCAUCCAACUCAACCUGAACAUAGUUACAAUCAUAAACAUGAUCCCUCUGUGGGAUCUCAUCAAUGCCCCAACGGGCGAUACAACAUGAGAGAGAACUGAAGAUGAUUGAGUUUGAGCAACUGAGGCAGUCAGAGCACAUGGGUGUAGAUGAGUUUUAAGAAUUUAUCCGUGAACUCCUCUACACCCAUGUGCUCUGACUGCCUCAGUUGCUCAAACUCAAUCAUCUUCAGUUCUCUGGAAUUGUCUGGAAAAGCCCAUCCAGCGAACUCAUUCGCAAAUUCUUCCCAUGUCAUACCGUCUAGUCUCGGGUCCACAUAACACUUGAACCAUUCCCGUGCCUUCUUGCACUUUAAAGUGAACCCUGCCAUCUGAAUGGCCCUGCUGUCACUUGCCCCUAGCUCAUCAGUUAUUGUCUUCACCACUCUCAGAUACUCAAAGGGGUCAUCCCCUGACUUGUAUUUGGGAGCAUCCAGCUUGAGGUAAUCUGUCAUCUAUAGGUACCCUACAGUUAUAGACUCAGCUUUUGAGCCAUACAAUUAUUUGGCACUUUGUGCCCUACAGUUACAGUUUCCUUAUCUGACUUAACAGUCCCAUUUAAAUUUAUAGGGGCCAACAGAAAAAUAAUAUAUAAAUAAAAAUACUAAGAGAAAAUAAAACUUUUUACAUGAUGAAGAAAAAGAAAAGGAUUAUGAAAUUAAAAUAUGUAUAUAUAUGUGAAUUAAUAAUAUGAUUUAGAUUAUUUCAAAUUAUUUGUUAUAUAGUUAUUUGUUAUUUGUUUGAAUUACUGUUAUUACCUGAAUUUUGAUUUAAAUGUUUUAUUUAUAAAAAAAAAAAUGAAGUUGAGUACCACUAAGCAAAUUGCUUAGCGCGUAUGAAUUUAUUUUUCCUCGCACAG